CACCGCGGUUAUACGAGGGGCCCAAACCAAUAUUCAACGGCGUAAAGUGUGAUUAAAGGAUAUUCAAACUAAAGAAAAACGUCCCCUAAGCUGUUAUACGCUAACGGAGAGACUGAAAAUCUACAACGAAAGUGACUUUAUAGCCCUUGAACUCACGACCAUUAAGAAA
This 169-nucleotide ribosomal RNA is filed under the name Myrophinae gen. sp. FRLM:38528. RNAcentral's name for it is "partial 12S rRNA". Lineage: Eukaryota; Metazoa; Chordata; Actinopteri; Anguilliformes; Ophichthidae. The record is from RNAcentral.